RNAcentral lists this ribosomal RNA (488 nucleotides) under uncultured Eubacteriales bacterium. Its description in RNAcentral is "bacterial SSU rRNA". It matches the Rfam family "Bacterial small subunit ribosomal RNA", at positions 8 to 507 of the family's 1533-position model. Lineage: Bacteria; Bacillati; Bacillota; Clostridia; Eubacteriales. The record is from RNAcentral.
AGAGUUUGAUCCUGGCUCAGGAUGAACGCUGGCGGCGUGCUUAACACAUGCAAGUCGAACGGACCCAUAUUGAAACCUAGUGAUAUAUGGGUUAGUGGCGGACGGGUGAGUAACGCGUGGGCAACCUGCCUUACACAGGGGGAUAACACUUAGAAAUAGGUGCUAAAACCGCAUAAGCGCACAGCUUCGCAUGAAGCGGUGUGAAAAACUCCGGUGGUGUAAGAUGGACCCGCGUCUGAUUAGCUUGUUGGCGGGGUAACGGCCCACCAAGGCGACGAUCAGUAGCCGGCCUGAGAGGGCGGACGGCCACAUUGGGACUGAGACACGGCCCAGACUCCUACGGGAGGCAGCAGUGGGGAAUAUUGCACAAUGGGGGAAACCCUGAUGCAGCGACGCCGCGUGAGUGAAGAAGUAAUUCGUUACGUAAAGCUCUAUCAGCAGGGAAGAAAAUGACGGUACCUGAGUAAGAAGCCCCGGCUAACUACGUG